Molecule: ribosomal RNA, 497 nt
Filed under: Bacillus sp. (in: firmicutes)
Lineage: Bacteria; Bacillati; Bacillota; Bacilli; Caryophanales; Bacillaceae
Description: bacterial SSU rRNA
Rfam family: Bacterial small subunit ribosomal RNA
Source: RNAcentral
GGGCGUAAGGGCUCGCAGGCGGUUUCUUAAGUCUGAUGUGAAAGCCCCCGGCUCAACCGGGGAGGGUCAUUGGAAACUGGGGAACUUGAGUGCAGAAGAGGAGAGUGGAAUUCCACGUGUAGCGGUGAAAUGCGUAGAGAUGUGGAGGAACACCAGUGGCGAAGGCGACUCUCUGGUCUGUAACUGACGCUGAGGAGCGAAAGCGUGGGGAGCGAACAGGAUUAGAUACCCUGGUAGUCCACGCCGUAAACGAUGAGUGCUAAGUGUUAGGGGGUUUCCGCCCCUUAGUGCUGCAGCUAACGCAUUAAGCACUCCGCCUGGGGAGUACGGUCGCAAGACUGAAACUCAAAGGAAUUGACGGGGGCCCGCACAAGCGGUGGAGCAUGUGGUUUAAUUCGAAGCAACGCGAAGAACCUUACCAGGUCUUGACAUCCUCUGACAAUCCUAGAGAUAGGACGUCCCCUUCGGGGGCAGAGUGACAGGUGGUGCAUGGUUGU